AGAGUUUGAUCAUGGCUCAGGACGAACGCUGGCGGCGUGCCUAAUGCAUGCAAGUCGAGCGGGCUACGAUCUUCGGAUUGUAGCUUAGCGGCGAACGGGUGAGUAACACGUAGGUGAUCUACCCUUCAGAGGAGGACAACCUCAGGAAACUGAGGCUAAACCUUCAUACGUUCACUGGUAGGGAUACUGGUGAAGAAAGAGUUACCCCUAGAGGGUAGCUGCUGAAGGAUGAGCCUGCGGCCCAUCAGGUAGUUGGUGAGGUAACGGCUCACCAAGCCGAAGACGGGUAACCGGUCUGAGAGGAUGUCCGGUCACACUGGGACUGAGACACGGCCCAGACUCCUACGGGAGGCAGCAGCAGGGAAUCUUGGGCAAUGGGCGAAAGCCUGACCCAGCGACGCCGCGUGGAGGAAGAAGUCCUUCGGGGCGUAAACUCCUGGACUGGGGGACGAGGAAGGACGGUACCCCAGUAGAAAGGGACGGCUAACUACGUGCCAGCAGCCGCGGUAAAACGUAGGUCCCGAGCGUUGUUCGGAUUCACUGGGUGUAAAGGGCGCGUAGGUGGUUGUCUGUGUCUCAUGUGAAAACUCAGGGCUCAACUCUGAGAUUGCGUGGGAAACUAGGCAGCUAGAGGACGGUAGAGGGGAGUGGAAUUCCCGGUGUAGCGGUAAAAUGCGUAGAUAUCGGGAGGAACACCGGUGGCGAAGGCGGCUCUCUGGGCCGAUCCUGACGCUGAGGCGCGAAAGCUAGGGGAGCGAACCGGAUUAGAUACCCGGGUAGUCCUAGCCGUAAACGAUGGGUGCUAGGUGUUG
RNAcentral lists this ribosomal RNA (812 nucleotides) under uncultured bacterium. Its description in RNAcentral is "bacterial SSU rRNA". It matches the Rfam family "Bacterial small subunit ribosomal RNA", at positions 8 to 825 of the family's 1533-position model. The record is from RNAcentral.